CCUACGGGAGGCAGCAGUGGGGAAUAUUGCACAAUGGGGGCAACCCUGAUGCAGCGACGCCGCGUGAGCGAUGAAGUAUUUCGGUAUGUAAAACUCUAUCAGCAGGGAAGAAGAUGACGUUACGUGACUAAUAGCCCCCGGCCAACGACGUGCCAGCAGCCGCGGUAAUACGUCGGGGGCAAGCGAUAUCCGGAUUUACUGUGGGUAACGGGAGCGUAGUCGGUGUUGCAAGCCGGAGGUGAAAGCCCGGGGCUCAACCCCGGGGCGGCAUUUGAAACUGGGUGGCUGGAGUGUAGGAGAGGAAAGCGGAAUUCCUAGUGUAGCGGUGAAAUGCGUAGAUAUUAGGAGGAACACCAGUGGCGAAGGCGGCAUGCUGGACGAUAACUGACGUUGAGGCUCGAAAGCGUGGGGAGCAAACAGGAUUAGAUACCCGAGUAGUC
This 440-nucleotide ribosomal RNA is filed under the name uncultured bacterium. RNAcentral's name for it is "partial 16S ribosomal RNA". It matches the Rfam family "Bacterial small subunit ribosomal RNA", at positions 338 to 795 of the family's 1533-position model. The record is from RNAcentral.